UGCGACCUCAGAGCAGGUGAGACUACCCGCUGAAU
Molecule: ribosomal RNA, 35 nt
Filed under: Calligrapha philadelphica
Lineage: Eukaryota; Metazoa; Arthropoda; Insecta; Coleoptera; Chrysomelidae
Also listed under: 1 other name
Description: partial 28S ribosomal RNA
Source: RNAcentral